AUUGAACGCUGGCGGCAUGCCUUACACAUGCAAGUCGAACGGUAACAGGCAGAAGCUUGCUUCUUUGCUGCCGACUGGCGGAUGGGUCAGCAGUGUCUGGGAAACUGCCUGAUGUAAGGGGACGACAACUGUGAUCGGUCGCCAAUAGCGCAUAGCGUCGCAACACCAAACAAGGGAACCUUGGUUCCUCUCGCCCCUUUGUGUGCCCAGAUGGGAUUAGCUAGUAGGUGGGGUAACGGCUCACCUAGGCGACGAUCCCUAGCUGGUCUGAGAGGAUGACCAGCCACACUGGAACUGAGACACGGUCCAGACUCCUACGGGAGGCAGCAGUGGGGAAUAUUGCACAAUGGGCGCAAGCCUGAUGCAGCCAUGCCGCGUGUAUGAAGAAGGCCUUCGGGUUGUAAAGUACUUUCAGCGGGGAGGAAGGGAGUAAAGUUAAUACCUUUGCUCAUUGACGUUACCCGCAGAAGAAGCACCGGCUAACUCCGUG
This 490-nucleotide ribosomal RNA is filed under the name uncultured bacterium. RNAcentral's name for it is "partial 16S ribosomal RNA". It matches the Rfam family "Bacterial small subunit ribosomal RNA", at positions 30 to 507 of the family's 1533-position model. The record is from RNAcentral.